GGAGCGCUUGCUCUGUAGCGGUUUCCUUCAUGGCAGAUGGGAAUUGUUCCUUUGGGAUCUGGGAGGAGACCCAGGCCGCGCAUCCAG
This 87-nucleotide microRNA precursor is filed under the name Otolemur garnettii (small-eared galago). Its description in RNAcentral is "miRNA (ENSOGAG00000025979.1)". Lineage: Eukaryota; Metazoa; Chordata; Mammalia; Primates; Galagidae. The record is from RNAcentral.